CCUACGGGAGGCUGCAGUGAGGAAUAUUGGUCAAUGGGCGCGAGCCUGAACCAGCCAAGUCGCGUGAAGGAUGACUGCCCUACGGGUUGUAAACUUCUUUUAUAAAGGAAUAAAGUGAGCCACGUGUGCCUUUUUGUAUGUACUUUAUGAAUAAGGAUCGGCUAACUCCGUGCCAGCAGCCGCGGUAAUACGGAGGAUCCGAGCGUUAUCCGGAUUUAUUGGGUUUAAAGGGUGCGUAGAUGGGUUGAUAAGUCAGUUGUGAAAGUUUGCGGCUCAACCGUAAAAUUGCAAUUGAUACUGGCAGUCUUGAGUACAGAUGAGGUAGGCGGAAUGCGUGGUGUAGCGGUGAAAUGCUUAGAUAUCACGAAGAACUCCGAUUGCGAAGGCAGCUUACUAGACCGCCACUGACAUUGAUGCACGAAAGUGUGGGUAUCGAACAGGAUUAGAUACCCGGGUAGUC
RNAcentral lists this ribosomal RNA (460 nucleotides) under uncultured bacterium. RNAcentral's name for it is "partial 16S ribosomal RNA". It matches the Rfam family "Bacterial small subunit ribosomal RNA", at positions 338 to 795 of the family's 1533-position model. The record is from RNAcentral.